This is a long non-coding RNA of Poeciliopsis prolifica (blackstripe livebearer), 385 nucleotides long. RefSeq lists it as uncharacterized. The transcript is spliced from 2 exons. The record is from RefSeq and is a predicted model, not a curated record. NCBI's taxonomy places the organism in Eukaryota, Metazoa, Chordata, Actinopteri, Cyprinodontiformes, Poeciliidae.
CGGCCCGCCUGCAGGUCCGCGAUGCGGAUGGUUUCGGACAAAGCCCAGAUGUAGUUGUGCGCAAAGCGCAGAGUCUCGAUCUUGGUUUUUCAAAGUGUAGAAGAAGAGCCACUGCUGCUUGUUGUGAAUGUGGAGCGCAUCACUGCCCCCUAUCAGAGACAUAUGGUACUUUCUGCGUCACUUCACAGAUCAGAGAUUCAAGAUCGGACACAUGUAUUUAAUAAAUCAGACUGUGUAGAACAUGUGUAAUUAAACAAACACAUUGUUUAAAUACUAUAAACAAAAUACUUUAUCUGACUUAUUUCAUGUAUUUGAACAAGGGAUGUGUAAGUUCUGCCAUUUUGAACAUAAAAAUGUUAACAAUAAUAAAGACAUUUAAAUUAGA